AGGGAGAAUACGCCCUUAUUAUAGUUGAUUAAGGUACAACUUAAUCAACAAAGGAAACAACCUACACAAAUGAGCAAAGAUAUAUACUGCUAGGAACACAACUCAGUAGGCCUAAAAGCAGCCACCAUACAACAGCGUUAAAGCUUAACUACCUUUCUUUCCCCGCUUAUUUACAUAAAAUAUCUAAACUCAAUAAAAUAAUCAAGUCAAUCUAUAUAUAGAUAGGUUAUUACUAAAAUAAGUAACAUGAAAAUAUUCUCAUAAUACAUGUGUAAAUCAGAAUAGACCACCUACUGAUAAUUAAUAAACAUAUUUAUAACACAAGAAUUUAAAUAUAUUUAAACGUUAACCCAACACAGGAGUAUAUGUGAAGACUUAAAAUUUAGAAAGGAACUCGGCAAACCAAGACCCCGCCUGUUUACCAAAAACAUCGCCUUUUGAAAUUCAAACAUGAAAGGUCUCGCCUGCCCAGUGACAUAUUCAACGGCCGCGGUAUUAUGACCGUGCAAAGGUAGCGUAAUCACUUGUUUCUUAAAUAGAGACCGGUAUGAACGGCGAAACGAGGGCCUGACUGUCUCACUAAAUUAGUCAGUGAAAUUGAUUUUCCCGUGCAGAAGCGGGAAUAAUAGUAUAAGACGAGAAGACCCUGUGGAGCUUUAGACCUAAGCUAACAUAUACACAUAGCAGCCUGUUUUAGGUUGGGGCGACCAAGAGGUAAAAUGAACCCUCGAGACUACAAGCAAGAAGGACACUUCCAACAAUAAUAUAAUUAACUUUUGACCCAAUAAUUUUGAUCAACGAACCAAGUUACCCCAGGGAUAACAGCGCAAUCCUCUCAUAGAGCCCAUAUCGACGAGCGGGUUUACGAC
This 869-nucleotide ribosomal RNA is filed under the name Dendrotriton bromeliacius (Volcan Tajumulco bromelidad salamander). RNAcentral's name for it is "partial large subunit ribosomal RNA". It matches the Rfam family "Bacterial large subunit ribosomal RNA", at positions 964 to 2524 of the family's 2925-position model. Lineage: Eukaryota; Metazoa; Chordata; Amphibia; Caudata; Plethodontidae. The record is from RNAcentral.